RNAcentral lists this ribosomal RNA (484 nucleotides) under uncultured bacterium. RNAcentral's name for it is "partial 16S ribosomal RNA". It matches the Rfam family "Bacterial small subunit ribosomal RNA", at positions 29 to 507 of the family's 1533-position model. The record is from RNAcentral.
AUUGAACGCUGGCGGCAUGCUUUACACAUGCAAGUCGAACGGCAGCGCGGGCUUCGGCCUGGCGGCGAGUGGCGAACGGGUGAGUAAUGCAUCGGAACGUGCCCAGUAGUGGGGGAUAGCCCGGCGAAAGCCGGAUUAAUACCGCAUACGACCUGAGGGUGAAAGCGGGGGACCGAAAGGCCUCGCGCUAUUGGAGCGGCCGAUGUCGGAUUAGCUAGUUGGUGGGGUAAAGGCUUACCAAGGCGACGAUCCGUAGCUGGUCUGAGAGGACGACCAGCCACACUGGGACUGAGACACGGCCCAGACUCCUACGGGAGGCAGCAGUGGGGAAUUUUGGACAAUGGGGGAAACCCUGAUCCAGCAAUGCCGCGUGCGGGAAGAAGGCCUUCGGGUUGUAAACCGCUUUUAUUCGGGAAGAAAUCCUCUGGGCUAAUACCCCGGGGGGAUGACGGUACCGGAAGAAUAAGCACCGGCUAACUACGUG